Molecule: ribosomal RNA, 525 nt
Filed under: uncultured Marinobacter sp.
Lineage: Bacteria; Pseudomonadati; Pseudomonadota; Gammaproteobacteria; Pseudomonadales; Marinobacteraceae
Description: bacterial SSU rRNA
Rfam family: Bacterial small subunit ribosomal RNA
Source: RNAcentral
CCNGCUUGCUGGAUCCUGACGAGCGGCGGACGGGUGAGUAAUGCAUAGGAAACUGCCCAAUAGUGGGGGAUAGCCCGGGGAAACCCGGAUUAAUACCGCAUACGUCCUACGGGAGAAAGCAGGGGCUCUUCGGACCUUGCGCUAUUGGAUGUGCCUAUGUCGGAUUAGCUAGUUGGUGGGGUAAAGGCCUACCAAGGCGACGAUCCGUAGCUGGUCUGAGAGGAUGAUCAGCCACAUCGGGACUGAGACACGGCCCGAACUCCUACGGGAGGCAGCAGUGGGGAAUAUUGGACAAUGGGGGCAACCCUGAUCCAGCCAUGCCGCGUGUGUGAAGAAGGCUUUCGGGUUGUAAAGCACUUUCAGUGAGGAGGAAAACCUUAUGGUUAAUACCCAUGAGGCUUGACGUUACUCACAGAAGAAGCACCGGCUAACUCCGUGCCAGCAGCCGCGGUAAUACGGAGGGUGCAAGCGUUAAUCGGAAUUACUGGGCGUAAAGCGCGCGUAGGUGGUUAGGUAAGCGAGAUG